This 256-nucleotide ribosomal RNA is filed under the name uncultured bacterium. RNAcentral's name for it is "partial 16S ribosomal RNA". It matches the Rfam family "Bacterial small subunit ribosomal RNA", at positions 521 to 776 of the family's 1533-position model. The record is from RNAcentral.
UAAUACGAAGGGAACUAGCGUUGUCCGGAAUUACUGGGCGUAAAGAGCACGUAGGCGGUUUAUUAAGUUGGGAGUGAAAUCCCGGAGCUCAACUCCGGAACUGCUCUCAAAACUGAUAGACUAGAGUGUGAUAGGGGGUGAUGGAAUUCCUAGUGUAGAGGUGAAAUUCUUAGAUAUUAGGAGGAACAUCGGUGGCGAAGGCGAUCACCUGGAUCAUUACUGACGCUGAGGUGCGAAAGCGUGGGGAGCAAACAGG